CGGCGAGAUCGGUAUGGUCUCUGGAAUUCCAGAGGAACACCUUACCAGAAGGGUUGUAAUUUACUCUCCAGCUAGAACUGCAUCCCAACAAGGAUCAGGCAAGGUUGGCAAGUGGAAAAUCAAUUUUAUGUCAACACAAAAGUGGGAAAACCCAUUGAUGGGGUGGACUUCUACUGGGCACCCCUAUGCCAAUGUAGGGGAUUCUGCACUGUCUUUUGAUAAUGAAGAAGCUGCAAAGG
Molecule: unclassified non-coding RNA, 239 nt
Filed under: Hevea brasiliensis (rubber tree)
Lineage: Eukaryota; Viridiplantae; Streptophyta; Magnoliopsida; Malpighiales; Euphorbiaceae
Source: RNAcentral